Molecule: non-coding RNA, 31 nt
Filed under: Rattus norvegicus (Norway rat)
Lineage: Eukaryota; Metazoa; Chordata; Mammalia; Rodentia; Muridae
Source: RNAcentral
UAACCAACUAGGUUUCCUGCCUCCGGGCCUU